GAUGAACGCUGGCGGCGUGCCUAAUACAUGCAAGUCGAGCGAACAGACGAGGAGCUUGCUCCUCUGACGUUAGCGGCGGACGGGUGAGUAACACGUGGAUAACCUACCUUUAAGACUGGGAUAACUUCGGGAAACCGGAGCUAAUACCGGAUAAUAUAUUGAACCGCAUGGUUCAAUAGUGAAAGACGGUUUUGCUGUCACUUAUAGAUGGAUCCGCGCCGCAUUAGCUAGUUGGUAAGGUAACGGCUUACCAAGGCGACGAUGCGUAGCCGACCUGAGAGGGUGGUCGGCCCACCUGGAACUGAGACCCGGUCCAGACGCCUACGGGAGGCAGCAGUAGGGAAUCUUCCGGAAUGGGCGAAAGCCUGACGGAGCAACGGCGCGUGAGGGAUGAAGGUCUUCGGAUCGUAAAACUCUGUUAUUAGGGAAGAACAAAUGUGUAAGUAACUAUGCACGUCUUGACGGUACCUAAUCAGAAAGCCACGGCUAACUACGUG
This 497-nucleotide ribosomal RNA is filed under the name uncultured bacterium. Its description in RNAcentral is "partial 16S ribosomal RNA". It matches the Rfam family "Bacterial small subunit ribosomal RNA", at positions 28 to 507 of the family's 1533-position model. The record is from RNAcentral.